This 253-nucleotide ribosomal RNA is filed under the name uncultured bacterium. Its description in RNAcentral is "partial 16S ribosomal RNA". It matches the Rfam family "Archaeal small subunit ribosomal RNA", at positions 474 to 727 of the family's 1478-position model. The record is from RNAcentral.
UACCCGCAGCACAAGUGGUGGUCAUUAUUAUUGGGCCUAAAGCGUCCGUAGCUGGCUUGUUAGAUGCCUGGGUAAAUCGAUGCGCUCAACGUAUCGAAUUCCGGGUAGACCGGCAAGCUCGAGACCGGGAGAGGUGUAGGCUACUCGAGGGGUAGGGGUAAAAUCCUGUAAUCCUUCGGGGAGGACCAGUGGCGAAGGCGCUACACUAGAACGGCUCUGACAGUGAGGGACGAAGCCCUGGGGCACAAACCGG